This 316-nucleotide ribosomal RNA is filed under the name Clostridiales bacterium. RNAcentral describes it as "bacterial SSU rRNA". It matches the Rfam family "Bacterial small subunit ribosomal RNA", at positions 1 to 303 of the family's 1533-position model. The record is from RNAcentral. Lineage: Bacteria; Bacillati; Bacillota; Clostridia; Eubacteriales.
UUUAUUGAGAGUUUGAUCCUGGCUCAGGAUGAACGCUGGCGGCGUGCUUAACACAUGCAAGUCGAACGAAGCACUCAGGAGCGAUUUCGGUCAAUCCUGUUUGACUGAGUGGCGGACGGGUGAGUAACGCGUGAGGAACCUGCCUUGCAGUGGGGAAUAACAGUUGGAAACGACUGCUAAUACCGCAUAAUGCAGAGAGACCGCAUGAUCUUUCUGCCAAAGAUUUAUCGCUGUAAGAUGGCCUCGCGUCUGAUUAGCUAGUUGGUGGGGUAACGGCCUACCAAGGCGACGAUCAGUAGCCGGACUGAGAGGUUGA